Molecule: ribosomal RNA, 245 nt
Filed under: uncultured bacterium
Lineage: Bacteria
Description: partial 16S ribosomal RNA
Rfam family: Bacterial small subunit ribosomal RNA
Source: RNAcentral
UACGAAGGGGGCUAGCGUUGUUCGGAAUUACUGGGCGUAAAGCGCACGUAGGCGGAUAUUUAAGUCAGGGGUGAAAUCCCAGAGCUCAACUCUGGAACUGCCUUUGAUACUGGGUAUCUUGAGUAUGGAAGAGGUAAGUGGAAUUGCGAGUGUAGAGGUGAAAUUCGUAGAUAUUCGCAGGAACACCAGUGGCGAAGGCGGCUUACUGGUCCAUAACUGACGCUGAGGUGCGAAAGCGUGGGGAG